UGCGUAGGGUGCAAGCGUUGUCCGGAAUUAUUGGGCGUAAAGAGCUCGUAGGCGGUUUGUCACGUCUGCUGUGAAAACUCAGGGCUUAACCCUGAGCUUGCAGUGGGUACGGGCAGACUAGAGUGCGGUAGGGGAGACUGGAAUUCCUGGUGUAGCGGUGAAAUGCGCAGAUAUCAGGAGGAACACCGGUGGCGAAGGCGGGUCUCUGGGCCGUAACUGACGCUGAGGAGCGAAAGCAUGGGGAGCGAACAGG
This 253-nucleotide ribosomal RNA is filed under the name uncultured bacterium. RNAcentral's name for it is "partial 16S ribosomal RNA". It matches the Rfam family "Bacterial small subunit ribosomal RNA", at positions 524 to 776 of the family's 1533-position model. The record is from RNAcentral.